UCCACUCCCACCCCCCUCCCGACAUGCCACGCGACGCAAACCGAGGAAGACUACCUUUAAUGAUCAUUUGAACAGAUAAAUGCACACAAUAUACGCUAUUAUGUUGUACAAGUAUGAUUAAAAUUAUAUUGAAAACGCUCUAUAAAAUGAGAAGCAAUAUACCUGGAUCCGGCACUGUGGUGUUAAUUAGCCGCAAAGAAUAUGUAUUUUUUUUUAAAUUGGUCCAUCUUUCAAGUAUAACGCAGGCUUUAGCAGGCUUAAAGCAAUGAUAUCCACUGAAUGGUUCAAGUCAUUUUUUAAACGCGGCGAUAUUUUUGUCCUCGAUCGCGGGUUUGAAAAUGUAAAAUCUGACUUAGAAGCUGCCGGUUUUCGAGUCUACAUACCUCGUUUAAAAAAAGGUAACGCUCAGCUUUCAACCAAGGACGCCAACGAGAGCAGAUUAUGCACCAAAGUUCGUUGGGUGGUUGAAGUAGUGAAUAGUUCUAUUAAAAGAUUUCGACACUUUCGUUCAUCGGUAAUUUCAAGUAAAGUGCCGCAUUUGUUUGAUGACUAUCGCAUAGUGUCCGCGAUACAUAAUUUAUAUUUUCAACGCCUGCAAAGUGAUGGUGACGACGCAAAAAUUGCCAUUCAAAUGCUCCAAAAAUUAAAUGAGCCGAAUAUUGUGCAACAAAUUGUUGAGGACGAGAAAUGGCUCCGAAAAAAUGUAGUUUUUGAAAACCUGACCACAGAUCAUUUUAAACAAUUAGAGCAGUGGAGGAGCGAAGAUCUUGACACCCUCUCGGGAAGAUAUCAAAUUGGACUUGCAGCAAGUUAUAUCGCAGACCAUUUUGCUAAUGGAAAAUAUUGCUUUCAAGUGACGAAGGAUAACUUUUUGCCAGAUUUUCAAAAAUAUGAUAUUUCCGUAAAUUCGCCUCUUUUUCUUCGAUCGCGGAUCCUAUCGAGGCAUAAAUCAAAAAAGAAUAUCAUAUAUUUAUAUUAAUCGACACCAGUAAAAAAUCCAGCGAGGCCAUUAAAGCAUGUUACUGCA
Molecule: long non-coding RNA, 1027 nt
Filed under: Bemisia tabaci
Lineage: Eukaryota; Metazoa; Arthropoda; Insecta; Hemiptera; Aleyrodidae
Description: lncRNA ENSSSA2NGG011707
Source: RNAcentral